Molecule: long non-coding RNA, 773 nt
Filed under: Trifolium pratense (red clover)
Lineage: Eukaryota; Viridiplantae; Streptophyta; Magnoliopsida; Fabales; Fabaceae
Description: long non-coding RNA (TPRA_LNC001417)
Source: RNAcentral
CCCGGUAUAGACACCAAUAGUAAUUGGGUAGUAGGAAUCCACUGAGACGAAGUGACUGUCUCAUCCCCCGCUUAUUUGAUUUCAGAUAAACAGGUUGAUCGAGAUAUCAUGGUCUGCAUGCAUGAAGUCCAGAUGCUUGGAUUAUGCUAGUUGAGUUGACUUCAUGUUAUCUUAUAUUGUGAAUAAGAUUUAGUUUAUUUAUGUUUUCAGUUGUUAGCUCAAUUUAGUAUUAAUCACUUGGAUUUUUGUAAUCCUAUUUAUGUAUUCGGACGAUAUGUAAUGAAAAUUUAAAGUUUCCCGGUUCAGUUAUGUACACUCUUGUUGAUAUUCUAGAUAAAUUGACAUGGGGUGUUAUAAAGUUAAAUUUUAAAUAAAAUACAAAAAAAAAAAUUGAAAAGGGUAUAUUUGGAAUAAAAAAAGGCUACACCAAAAGAAAUGUUUUCCUUUAUUAUUGUUAUAGAUUUCAGAUAAACAGGUUGAUCGAGAUAUCAUGGUUUGCAUGCAUGAAGUUCAGAUGCUUGGAUCAUGCUAGUUGAGUUGACGUCAUGUUAUCUUAUAUUGUGAAUAAGAUUUAGUUUCUUUAUGUUUUCAGUUGUUAGCUCAAUUUAGUAUUAAUCACUUGGAUUUUUGUAAUCCUAUUUAUGUAUUCGGACGAUAUGUAAUGAAAAUUUAAAGUUUUCCGGUUCAGUUAUGUACACUCUUGUUGAUAUUCUAGAUAAAUUGACAUGGGGUGUUAUAAAGUUAAAUUUUAAAUAAAAUACAAAAAAAAAUUG